Molecule: ribosomal RNA, 429 nt
Filed under: Bacillota bacterium
Lineage: Bacteria; Bacillati; Bacillota
Description: Firmicutes bacterium partial 16S ribosomal RNA
Rfam family: Bacterial small subunit ribosomal RNA
Source: RNAcentral
UAGGGAAUCUUCGGCAAUGGACGGAAGUCUGACCGAGCAACGCCGCGUGAGUGAAGAAGGUUUUCGGAUCGUAAAGCUCUGUUGUUAGAGAAGAACGUUGGUAGGAGUGGAAAAUCUACCAAGUGACGGUAACUAACCAGAAAGGGACGGCUAACUACGUGCCAGCAGCCGCGGUAAUACGUAGGUCCCGAGCGUUGUCCGGAUUUAUUGGGCGUAAAGCGAGCGCAGGCGGUUCUUUAAGUCUGAAGUUAAAGGCAGUGGCUUAACCAUUGUACGCUUUGGAAACUGGAGGACUUGAGUGCAGAAGGGGAGAGUGGAAUUCCAUGUGUAGCGGUGAAAUGCGUAGAUAUAUGGAGGAACGCCGGUGGCGAAAGCGGCUCUCUGGUCUGUAGCUGACGCUGAGGCUCGAAAGCGUGGGGAGCAAACAGG